Callorhinchus milii (elephant shark) is the source of this 74-nucleotide non-coding RNA. Lineage: Eukaryota; Metazoa; Chordata; Chondrichthyes; Chimaeriformes; Callorhinchidae. The record is from the annotation of a RefSeq genome assembly.
AGUUCCAUAGCGUAGUGGUUAGCGCACUUGCCCGGCGAGCAAGAGGACCCGGGUUCGAUUCCCAGGUGGGGCGA